RNAcentral lists this ribosomal RNA (723 nucleotides) under Vibrio sp. 12G08. RNAcentral describes it as "bacterial SSU rRNA". It matches the Rfam family "Bacterial small subunit ribosomal RNA", at positions 33 to 735 of the family's 1533-position model. The record is from RNAcentral. Lineage: Bacteria; Pseudomonadati; Pseudomonadota; Gammaproteobacteria; Vibrionales; Vibrionaceae.
ACGCUGGCGGCAGGCCUAACACAUGCAAGUCGAGCGGAAACGACACUAACAAUCCUUCGGGUGCGUUAAUGGGCGUCGAGCGGCGGACGGGUGAGUAAUGCCUAGGAAAUUGCCUUGAUGUGGGGGAUAACCAUUGGAAACGAUGGCUAAUACCGCAUGAUGCCUACGGGCCAAAGAGGGGGACCUUCGGGCCUCUCGCGUCAAGAUAUGCCUAGGUGGGAUUAGCUAGUUGGUGAGGUAAUGGCUCACCAAGGCGACGAUCCCUAGCUGGUCUGAGAGGAUGAUCAGCCACACUGGAACUGAGACACGGUCCAGACUCCUACGGGAGGCAGCAGUGGGGAAUAUUGCACAAUGGGCGAAAGCCUGAUGCAGCCAUGCCGCGUGUAUGAAGAAGGCCUUCGGGUUGUAAAGUACUUUCAGUUGUGAGGAAGGGUGUGUAGUUAAUAGCUGCRCAUCUUGACGUUAGCAACAGAAGAAGCACCGGCUAACUCCGUGCCAGCAGCCGCGGUAAUACGGAGGGUGCGAGCGUUAAUCGGAAUUACUGGGCGUAAAGCGCAUGCAGGUGGUUCAUUAAGUCAGAUGUGAAAGCCCGGGGCUCAACCUCGGAACUGCAUUUGAAACUGGUGAACUAGAGUGCUGUAGAGGGGGGUAGAAUUUCAGGUGUAGCGGUGAAAUGCGUAGAGAUCUGAAGGAAUACCAGUGGCGAAGGCGGCCCCCUGGACA